This 1155-nucleotide long non-coding RNA is filed under the name Ursus maritimus (polar bear). Its description in RNAcentral is "lncRNA (ENSUMAG00000010971.1)". The record is from RNAcentral. Lineage: Eukaryota; Metazoa; Chordata; Mammalia; Carnivora; Ursidae.
CCCUGUGGCCUAGUUUUAUUAACUGGACAGUCUUCCUUCCUGUGACCUUUCACCCCCUCUCCCCUCCCUUCCUGGCGUCCAGUUUUGCCCAGUCGGCCUUCAAACAGCUUCGUUCCUUGGUGUCCUUCCCCAUAGGCUGUGGCUGUGAGGUGUGUGUUCCAGAGGGCCUGGGUUUGCGUUGUUGAAACAGGGCUUGGCUUCACUAACCUGUCGUGGGAGAGGGCGGGUGUGCUCGUUAUUCAUUCGUUCGUUCCAAAACCUGCGUGCGAGCUCCCCGUGGCUCUGCUGGGCACAAACCUGCGGUCCCUGGGGCGAGAGGGCCAGGUCGGCCCCACUCAAGGUUCCGCGCAUGGCCUCCCGGUGGCGGCCGCCUCCCCUCUAAACCCAAGGGCGGCCCUCCUAGUGCCGAUGUCUUUUCUUGUGGGUUUUUUUUUUUUUUUCAAUGAGUUUUGAUGAGAGUCUUGCCAAAAUGCCAAAAUGCCUCCUACAGUUUUCUGGAAAUAAUGGGACAGUUUUGUCGAGUGCCGAGUACGUCCUGCUUCGCCCACCAGGUGAAUCACAGUUUCCUCGUCUGGAGAGCGGGGAUCGGGUCUCCGUCUGUGGGCCGUGGUGAGCAUUCAGCGGGCGGUGUAGCCGGGCGCCCAGCAGGUGCCCCAGAAACGAAUCACAGUGGGCUCGCGUCGAGCUCCCCGGUGCAAGAAUGCACGAGCGAGAGCCUCCAAGCAGAAGCACAAGCGACGGUUCGGAGAGUGUGAGGUGGCGGCUUGGAAACCUCUGCUUCUUCCGCACAACCGAGGGGGCUUCUGCCCGCGAGCUGAGCCGUGACCUUUUCCAGCUUCCUUCCAGCGGAUGUUGCUCCCCAGAGACAAGUCCCACUGAGCCAGGCCAGUGGGUCAUUUUCUGGAGUGCGGCUGAGCUGGCCUAGGGCGCUGGAAGGUCUGCUGCUGCCCUCCCUGGCUUUGGGGUGCGGGAGUACAGAAGGCCCUGGGGCCUCUCCACCAGGGAGCCCCACUGUCCACCCCGGGUGCUGGGCUGCGGGGCUAAGCCUGGCCAUGCACCCACUCGGGUCCUGGUCUGCCAGCCGCUCUCUCGAUGCCCGUCGGCCUCCUGGCACCUGUAAAUAAAUCCUGUCCUGGAUGAGUUUGUUCUCUGAGA